CGAGCGGACAGAUGGGAGCUUGCUCCCUGAUGUUAGCGGCGGACGGGUGAGUAACACGUGGGUAACCUGCCUGUAAGACUGGGAUAACUCCGGGAAACCGGGGCUAAUACCGGAUGGUUGUUUGAACCGCAUGGUUCAAACAUAAAAGGUGGCUUCGGCUACCACUUACAGAUGGACCCGCGGCGCAUUAGCUAGUUGGUGAGGUAACGGCUCACCAAGGCAACGAUGCGUAGCCGACCUGAGAGGGUGAUCGGCCACACUGGGACUGAGACACGGCCCAGACUCCUACGGGAGGCAGCAGUAGGGAAUCUUCCGCAAUGGACGAAAGUCUGACGGAGCAACGCCGCGUGAGUGAUGAAGGUUUUCGGAUCGUAAAGCUCUGUUGUUAGGGAAGAACAAGUACCGUUCGAAUAGGGCGGUACCUUGACGGUACCUAACCAGAAAGCCACGGCUAACUACGUGCCAGCAGCCGCGGUAAUACGUAGGUGGCAAGCGUUGUCCGGAAUUAUUGGGCGUAAAGGGCGCGCAGGCGGUUUCUUAAGUCUGAUGUGAAAGCCCCCGGCUCAACCGGGGAGGGUCAUUGGAAACUGGGGAACUUGAGUGCAGAAAAGGAGAGUGGAAUUCCACGUGUAGCGGUGAAAUGCGUAGAGAUGUGGGAGGAACACCAGUGGCGAAAGCGACUCUCUGG
This 688-nucleotide ribosomal RNA is filed under the name Bacillus sp. (in: firmicutes). Its description in RNAcentral is "bacterial SSU rRNA". It matches the Rfam family "Bacterial small subunit ribosomal RNA", at positions 63 to 732 of the family's 1533-position model. Lineage: Bacteria; Bacillati; Bacillota; Bacilli; Caryophanales; Bacillaceae. The record is from RNAcentral.